Non-coding RNA from Paramisgurnus dabryanus, 1410 nucleotides. The record is from RefSeq and is a predicted model, not a curated record. NCBI's taxonomy places the organism in Eukaryota, Metazoa, Chordata, Actinopteri, Cypriniformes, Cobitidae.
ACACACACAAUAUAACGUCAGUUCUGCCGUCAAAAAUAAUUUACAUUUAUUUUCCCAUCAGCUGAAGUCCAGGUUCUGGUCACAGUCACACCAAUAAAUGAGUUUGAGCCCCAGAUUGUGGGUCCGCUGAUGCUGCCCAUCCCAGAAGAUGUCCGUCGAGGGGCUUUAAUAGGAGUAGUGAAUGCAAUAGAUAGAGACUGGCCCUUUAAUUCACUCAGACUGUCAUUCCCAGGAGGAGACUCGGCUUUCACUAUCGAUCCAGACGGAGGGCAGCUGUAUUUGAGUACAGAACUGGAUUUUGAAGAAAAGCAGUUUUACAGAGUUAAAAUUCAGGCUGUUGAUUUUGACCAGGACGUCGACAAAACCGACCAAAGAACAGGAGCCACUGAUAUUAUCAUACAAGUUCAGAAUGUAAAUGACAAUGCUCCGGUGUGUAACCCACUCUCAUAUAAAUCCAUCAUCUUUUCCACCCUUGCUGCCGGUGUUCCCAUUGUCACCCUCAGCUGUACAGACCCUGAUAGAGAUCCUCUAAUGGCCACCAUCACCAAUGGUGCUGUCGUGGACCGAUUCCAAAUGAACGGUCUGAGUCUGACCUCUAAAAACCUCUUCUCCUACAUGCCAGAUGGUGUGUACGAUGCCACCAUGUUUGAGGUCACCAUUCAGGUGUCUGAUGGGAAAUACAGCACUGAUGUGGUCGCUUACAUCACGGUCGUACCACAAAACACACUACUACCACUAAGGGGGCGCCACAGGUAAUUACAGUUUUGAAGGAGUUUUGGGAUCCAGAACCUUGGUUUGUGGCUGUGCUCACUGUCACAGGAGUUUUACUGCUGCUGUCACUGGGACUGAUCAUCUGGAUUGUGCAUAUACGCACUAAUGUGAAUAUCAAAGGCUCUGAGAAUCAUUCAGCAUCGGAUGAUAAGGUGUCACUAGGUGGCAGCGUCAGUCUUCCAAAUGUCAGUGUUGAAGAUGACACAAUGAGGUUUGAUGGAAGAGCUCAAGACCCAGGUUAGAUUACAAUGUGUGCAUAUGUGGGAAUGUUAUUACAAGACAUUUUGAUAAAUCAUUAAAGACGUGGUCAUUUAUGUAACCGAGGUCAUCUUUCAACAGUAACAGGAUGGAGUUACUCGUUUAACUCUGUGACGGGGGAGCGGCGCUGGCUUGAGCCUCGACAUCCUAUUUGAUCUAUGAUGAAAAAUAAAUCUUAAUGUUCUUUAUUGAAUUAAUUAAUUUUCAUAUAGAUCUCUCUAGGUAAUGGAUAGCAGAACCAGGAAGAGCUAGAACACCAUCUCCUAAAAUUAGAAAUGUUCCUGUUGAUGCCCUACAGGAAGUCCAUAAAUGUGGUUUUAAUUAGUAUGAUUAGAUAUUACAAUUAUUGUAUGUGACACUAUUGAUAUGUACUACAUAUGU